ACGUAGGGGGCGAGCGUUGUCCGGAUUUAUUGGGCGUAAAGAGCUCGUAGGCGGUUUCGUAAGUCGGAUGUGAAAACUCCAGGCUCAACUUGGAGACGCCAUUCGAUACUGCGAUGGCUUGAGUCCGGUAGGGGAGUGUGGAAUUCCUGGUGUAGCGGUGAAAUGCGUAGAUAUCUGGAGGAAUACCGGUGGCGAAGGCGGCAUCCUGGACCGGCAUUGACGCUGAGGAGCGAAAGCCAGGGGAGCAAACGGGA
RNAcentral lists this ribosomal RNA (254 nucleotides) under uncultured prokaryote. RNAcentral's name for it is "partial 16S ribosomal RNA". It matches the Rfam family "Bacterial small subunit ribosomal RNA", at positions 525 to 777 of the family's 1533-position model. The record is from RNAcentral.